Molecule: ribosomal RNA, 319 nt
Filed under: uncultured eukaryote
Lineage: Eukaryota
Description: partial 18S ribosomal RNA
Rfam family: Eukaryotic small subunit ribosomal RNA
Source: RNAcentral
CCCUUAGAUGAUUUGGGCUGCACGCGCGCUACACUGACCCUAACAAUGAGCAACUGUCUGGCCUGAGAUGGCUGGGUAGCCUUUUCAACCCAUGUCAUGAUUGGGCUAGAUUUUUGUAAGUCUUGAUCUCUAACGAGGAAUCCCUAGUAUGCGUGAAUCAUCAAUCCAUGCAGAUUAUGUCCCUGCCCUUUGUACACACCGGCCGUCGCUCCUACUGAUUGGGUGAUCCGGUGAGCUGUUCGGCCAUAGCAAUGUUUCUUGAGCAGGGCAAUGAAUGUUUCGCAAACCUUGCCACUUAGAGGAAGGAGAAGUCGUAACA